This 465-nucleotide ribosomal RNA is filed under the name uncultured bacterium. RNAcentral's name for it is "partial 16S ribosomal RNA". It matches the Rfam family "Bacterial small subunit ribosomal RNA", at positions 338 to 795 of the family's 1533-position model. The record is from RNAcentral.
CCUACGGGUGGCAGCAGUGGGGAAUAUUGCGCAAUGAGCGAAAGCCUGACACAGCGACGCCGCGUGAGGGAUGAAGGUCUUCGGAUUGUAAACCGCUGUCAGCAGGGAAGAACGGUUACUGUGGUAAUCAGCAGUGAAUUGACGGUACCUGCAAAGGAAGCAACGGCUAACUCCGUGCCAGCAGCCGCGGUAAUACGGAGGGUGCGAGCGUUAAUCGGCAUUAUUGGGCGUAAAGCGGUCCUAUGCGUUAUGUUAAAUCAGGGGUGAAAUCCCCGAGGUCAACGUGGGAACUGCCUUUGAAACUAGCAAACUGGAGUGAGUGAGAGGAAAGUGGAAUGCCAGGUGUAGCGGUGAAAUGCGUAGAUAUCUGGAAGAACACCAGUGGCGAAGGCGACUAACUGGCACAUAACUGACGCUGAGGAGCGAAAGCGUGGGUAGCAAACAGGAUUAGAUACCCGUGUAGUC